CACGUUCUUGUACUUGAACUGAAAAGUGCCUCUUCUUUCAGGAUUCAUCUUGCUAACAAGCCUUGGAUUCCUGAAAUAAUGCGAAACAACUAAGAGUUUUGCUUUUAUGCAUAUGCAAUGAAUGAAUGGAUGCAAUGCUUUUUUUCUUUUUUUUUUGGAUAGGUUCAAAGGUCCGAGGUAUGGAUAAAUUUGAUUGCUUUCCAAAACGGGGUUCUCACCGGGUAUGAUCUAGGGCUUUGUUACAAAGGAUCCCCAGAGUCAUUGAUUCACAAGACUGUUUGACG
Molecule: long non-coding RNA, 284 nt
Filed under: Lathyrus oleraceus (garden pea)
Lineage: Eukaryota; Viridiplantae; Streptophyta; Magnoliopsida; Fabales; Fabaceae
Description: Pisum sativum (pea) long non-coding RNA (PSAT_LNC026471)
Source: RNAcentral